GGUUAAGCGACUAAGCGUACACGGUGGAUGCCCUGGCAGUCAGAGGCGAUGAAGGACGUGCUAAUCUGCGAUAAGCGUCGGUAAGGUGAUAUGAACCGUUAUAACCGGCGAUUUCCGAAUGGGGAAACCCAGUGUGUUUCGACACACUAUCAUUAACUGAAUCCAUAGGUUAAUGAGGCGAACCGGGGGAACUGAAACAUCUAAGUACCCCGAGGAAAAGAAAUCAACCGAGAUUCCCCCAGUAGCGGCGAGCGAACGGGGAGCAGCCCAGAGCCUGAAUCAGUGUGUGUGUUAGUGGAAGCGUCUGGAAAGGCGCGCGAUACAGGGUGACAGCCCCGUACACAAAAAUGCACAUGCUGUGAGCUCGAUGAGUAGGGCGGGACACGUGGUAUCCUGUCUGAAUAUGGGGGGACCAUCCUCCAAGGCUAAAUACUCCUGACUGACCGAUAGUGAACCAGUACCGUGAGGGAAAGGCGAAAAGAACCCCGGCGAGGGGAGUGAAAAAGAACCUGAAACCGUGUACGUACAAGCAGUGGGAGCACGCUUAGGCGUGUGACUGCGUACCUUUUGUAUAAUGGGUCAGCGACUUAUAUUCUGUAGCAAGGUUAACCGAAUAGGGGAGCCGAAGGGAAACCGAGUCUUAACUGGGCGUUAAGUUGCAGGGUAUAGACCCGAAACCCGGUGAUCUAGCCAUGGGCAGGUUGAAGGUUGGGUAACACUAACUGGAGGACCGAACCGACUAAUGUUGAAAAAUUAGCGGAUGACUUGUGGCUGGGGGUGAAAGGCCAAUCAAACCGGGAGAUAGCUGGUUCUCCCCGAAAGCUAUUUAGGUAGCGCCUCGUGAAUUCAUCUCCGGGGGUAGAGCACUGUUUCGGCAAGGGGGUCAUCCCGACUUACCAACCCGAUGCAAACUGCGAAUACCGGAGAAUGUUAUCACGGGAGACACACGGCGGGUGCUAACGUCCGUCGUGAAGAGGGAAACAACCCAGACCGCCAGCUAAGGUCCCAAAGUCAUGGUUAAGUGGGAAACGAUGUGGGAAGGCCCAGACAGCCAGGAUGUUGGCUUAGAAGCAGCCAUCAUUUAAAGAAAGCGUAAUAGCUCACUGGUCGAGUCGGCCUGCGCGGAAGAUGUAACGGGGCUAAACCAUGCACCGAAGCUGCGGCAGCGACGCUUAUGCGUUGUUGGGUAGGGGAGCGUUCUGUAAGCCUGCGAAGGUGUGCUGUGAGGCAUGCUGGAGGUAUCAGAAGUGCGAAUGCUGACAUAAGUAACGAUAAAGCGGGUGAAAAGCCCGCUCGCCGGAAGACCAAGGGUUCCUGUCCAACGUUAAUCGGGGCAGGGUGAGUCGACCCCUAAGGCGAGGCCGAAAGGCGUAGUCGAUGGGAAACAGGUUAAUAUUCCUGUACUUGGUGUUACUGCGAAGGGGGGGACGGAGAAGGCUAUGUUGGCCGGGCGACGGUUGUCCCGGUUUAAGCGUGUAGGCUGGUUUUCCAGGCAAAUCCGGAAAAUCAAGGCUGAGGCGUGAUGACGAGGCACUACGGUGCUGAAGCAACAAAUGCCCUGCUUCCAGGAAAAGCCUCUAAGCAUCAGGUAACAUCAAAUCGUACCCCAAACCGACACAGGUGGUCAGGUAGAGAAUACCAAGGCGCUUGAGAGAACUCGGGUGAAGGAACUAGGCAAAAUGGUGCCGUAACUUCGGGAGAAGGCACGCUGAUAUGUAGGUGAAGCGACUUGCUCGUGGAGCUGAAAUCAGUCGAAGAUACCAGCUGGCUGCAACUGUUUAUUAAAAACACAGCACUGUGCAAACACGAAAGUGGACGUAUACGGUGUGACGCCUGCCCGGUGCCGGAAGGUUAAUUGAUGGGGUUAGCGCAAGCGAAGCUCUUGAUCGAAGCCCCGGUAAACGGCGGCCGUAACUAUAACGGUCCUAAGGUAGCGAAAUUCCUUGUCGGGUAAGUUCCGACCUGCACGAAUGGCGUAAUGAUGGCCAGGCUGUCUCCACCCGAGACUCAGUGAAAUUGAACUCGCUGUGAAGAUGCAGUGUACCCGCGGCAAGACGGAAAGACCCCGUGAACCUUUACUAUAGCUUGACACUGAACAUUGAGCCUUGAUGUGUAGGAUAGGUGGGAGGCUUUGAAGUGUGGACGCCAGUCUGCAUGGAGCCGACCUUGAAAUACCACCCUUUAAUGUUUGAUGUUCUAACGUUGACCCGUAAUCCGGGUUGCGGACAGUGUCUGGUGGGUAGUUUGACUGGGGCGGUCUCCUCCUAAAGAGUAACGGAGGAGCACGAAGGUUGGCUAAUCCUGGUCGGACAUCAGGAGGUUAGUGCAAUGGCAUAAGCCAGCUUGACUGCGAGCGUGACGGCGCGAGCAGGUGCGAAAGCAGGUCAUAGUGAUCCGGUGGUUCUGAAUGGAAGGGCCAUCGCUCAACGGAUAAAAGGUACUCCGGGGAUAACAGGCUGAUACCGCCCAAGAGUUCAUAUCGACGGCGGUGUUUGGCACCUCGAUGUCGGCUCAUCACAUCCUGGGGCUGAAGUAGGUCCCAAGGGUAUGGCUGUUCGCCAUUUAAAGUGGUACGCGAGCUGGGUUUAGAACGUCGUGAGACAGUUCGGUCCCUAUCUGCCGUGGGCGCUGGAGAACUGAGGGGGGCUGCUCCUAGUACGAGAGGACCGGAGUGGACGCAUCACUGGUGUUCGGGUUGUCAUGCCAAUGGCACUGCCCGGUAGCUAAAUGCGGAAGAGAUAAGUGCUGAAAGCAUCUAAGCACGAAACUUGCCCCGAGAUGAGUUCUCCCUGACUCCUUGAGAGUCCUGAAGGAACGUUGAAGACGACGACGUUGAUAGGCCGGGUGUGUAAGCGCAGCGAUGCGUUGAGCUAACCGGUACUAAUGAACCGUGAGGCUUAACCUU
This 2905-nucleotide ribosomal RNA is filed under the name Escherichia coli. Its description in RNAcentral is "23S ribosomal RNA". It matches the Rfam family "Bacterial large subunit ribosomal RNA". Lineage: Bacteria; Pseudomonadati; Pseudomonadota; Gammaproteobacteria; Enterobacterales; Enterobacteriaceae. The record is from RNAcentral.